Molecule: ribosomal RNA, 497 nt
Filed under: uncultured bacterium
Lineage: Bacteria
Description: partial 16S ribosomal RNA
Rfam family: Bacterial small subunit ribosomal RNA
Source: RNAcentral
GAUGAACGCUGGCGGCGUGCCUAAUACAUGCAAGUCGAGCGAACAGACGAGGAGCUUGCUCCUCUGACGUUAGCGGCGGACGGGUGAGUAACACGUGGAUAACCUACCUAUAAGACUGGGAUAACUUCGGGAAACCGGAGCUAAUACCGGAUAAUAUAUUGAACCUCAUGGUUCAAUAGUGAAAGACGGUUUUGCUGUCACUUAUAGAUUGAUCCGCGCCGCAUUAGCUAGUUGGUAAGGUAACGGCUUACCAAGGCAACGAUGCGUAGCCGACCUGAGAGGGUGAUCGGCCACACUGGAACUGAGACACGGUCCAGACUCCUACGGGAGGCAGCAGUAGGGAAUCUUCCGCAAUGGGCGAAAGCCUGACGGAGCAACGCCGCGUGAGUGAUGAAGGUCUUCGGAUCGUAAAACUCUGUUAUUAGGGAAGAACAAAUGUGUAAGUAACUAUGCACGUCUUGACGGUACCUAAUCAGAAAGCCACGGCUAACUACGUG